CAAACUGGGAUUAGAUACCCCACUAUGCCUAGCCCUAAAUCUAGAUACCUCCCAUCACACAUGUAUCCGCCUGAGAACUACGAGCUCUAACGCUUAAAACUCUAAGGACUUGGCGGUGCCCCAAACCCACCUAGAGGAGCCUGUUCUAUAAUCGAUAAUCCACGAUUCACCCAACCACCCCUUGCCAGCACAGCCUACAUACCGCCGUCGCCAGCCCACCUCUAAUGAAAGAACAACAGUGAGCUCAAUAGCCCCUCGCUAAUAAGACAGGUCAAGGUAUAGCCUAUGGGGUGGGAGAAAUGGGCUACAUUUUCUAACAUAGAACAAACGAAAAAGGACGUGAAACCCGCCCUUAGAAGGAGGAUUUAGCAGUAAAGUGAGAUCAUACCCCCUAAGCUCACUUUAAGACGGCUCUGAGGCACGUACACACCGCCCGUCACCCUC
This 444-nucleotide ribosomal RNA is filed under the name Gallus gallus (chicken). RNAcentral's name for it is "partial 12S ribosomal RNA". It matches the Rfam family "Bacterial small subunit ribosomal RNA", at positions 768 to 1404 of the family's 1533-position model. Lineage: Eukaryota; Metazoa; Chordata; Aves; Galliformes; Phasianidae. The record is from RNAcentral.